ACUGGUGUCCAGGAAAAUGACCUAUGAAUUGACAGACUGCUUUCUAAACUUGCCUGUCAUUUCUAUAGGCCAAUAUUCUGCACACUUUC
Molecule: microRNA precursor, 89 nt
Filed under: Columba livia (rock pigeon)
Lineage: Eukaryota; Metazoa; Chordata; Aves; Columbiformes; Columbidae
Description: microRNA cli-mir-215 precursor
Gene: cli-mir-215
Rfam family: mir-192/215 microRNA precursor family (bases 9-81)
About the family: This family represents the human microRNA (miRNA) precursors mir-192 and mir-215. Animal miRNAs are transcribed as ~70nt precursors and subsequently processed by the Dicer enzyme to give a ~22nt product.
Source: miRBase by way of RNAcentral